UGGAUCCAGACUUUGAUCCUGGCUCAGGAUGAACGCUAGCUACAGGCUUAACACAUGCAAGUCGAGGGGCAGCAUGAACUUAGCUUGCUAAGUUUGAUGGCGACCGGCGCACGGGUGCGUAACGCGUAUCCAAUCUACCCAUGGCUCGGGGAUAGCCUUCUGAAAGGAAGAUUAAUACCCGAUGGUCUUGUCGAGUGGCAUCACUUGGCAAGUAAAGAUUUAUCGGCGAUGGAUGAGGAUGCGUCCGAUUAGGUUGUUGGCGGGGUAACGGCCCACCAAGCCGUCGAUCGGUAGGGGUUCUGAGAGGAAGGCCCCCCACACUGGAACUGAGACACGGUCCAGACUCCUACGGGAGGCAGCAGUGAGGAAUAUUGGUCAAUGGGCGAGAGCCUGAACCAGCCAAGUAGCGUGAAGGACGACUGCCCUAUGGGUUGUAAACUUCUUUUGUUUGGGAAUAAAGUGCUCCACGUGUGGAGUUUUGCAUGUACCAUACGAAUAAGCAUCGGCUAAUUCCGUGCCAGCAGCCGCGGUAAUACGGAAGAUGCGAGCGUUAUCCGGAUUUAUUGGGUUUAAAGGGGGCGUAGGCGGGCUGUUAAGUCAGCGGUCAAAUGUCAGGGCCCAACCUUGGCAUGCCGUUGAAACUGGCGGUCUUGAGUUCACACAAGGAAGGUGGAAUUCGUCGUGUAGCGGUGAAAUGCUUAGAUAUGACGAAGAACUCCGAUUGCGAAGGCAGCCUUCUGGGGUGUUACUGACGCUGAGGCUCGAAAGCGCGGGUAUCAAACAGGAUUAGAUACCCUGGUAGUCCGCGCCGUAAACGAUGAAUGCUGGACAUUGGCGAUAUAUUGUCAGUGUCUGAGGGAAACCAUUAAGCAUUCCACCUGGGGAGUACGCCGGCAACGGUGCAACUCAAAUGAAUUGACGGA
This 923-nucleotide ribosomal RNA is filed under the name uncultured Bacteroidota bacterium. RNAcentral describes it as "bacterial SSU rRNA". It matches the Rfam family "Bacterial small subunit ribosomal RNA", at positions 1 to 917 of the family's 1533-position model. The record is from RNAcentral. Lineage: Bacteria; Pseudomonadati; Bacteroidota.